UCAUCGCUUCUUCCUUCACUGCCAGAUCUUUAUUUCGAUAAUCCUUUAUUUCUUGGCAUCGCCAUCAAGCUCGGCUCCAAAGUAAAAGCUACUUGAUUUCCCAUCGAUUUUUGGAAAUCGAAACAAAUAUGUGUCUGUUUUUUGAAAUCGAAGUAUUUGCUAGUUUGAAACGGUAAAUAUGUUUUUGUCUUUGAAAUCGAAGGCUACUUGUUGCGUGGUUUAAGAAAAACUUUGCAAGGCAAUUAUACCACUGAUCCCAUUUCCGUCACUUCUCUUACUCUCAACCGCAAAGCCAUUUCUGAUGUUUCGUGCUUGAGUGAGUUCAAGAAUUUGGAAAGGCUAGAUCUUAGUUUCAACAAUUUAACUUCACUUGAGCUAGUUUGAAGUCUUAUGUGAAUUUGAAGUGGUUAUCUGAUUUGCAUAACAAGAUCGAGAGCUUGAAACGGAUUGAGGGCCUCAAUAAACUAACUGAAAGUAGCACAAAUCACCACACAACCAUAUUUUACAUAUUUUUUUCCUUGUUGAGUUUUUCAAAUUUGAAGCUUUCAAGACCUUUAUUUAAUUGCUGGAAUUUGAAUUCUAUUCAGAGUAUAAAUAGGAUUAGGAUUUCAUCAGUAAUGAAGCUAUUGGUUGGAGGACUUGGAUUUCAGAGCCUUCCAGUCACUGUAAAUGCUAGCAUUUAUCAAAUGCAAGUACGUGAAUUAGACGACAAUAUUUAGAAUUUGAUGCUGCCUUUUAUCAUCACAUACAUG
This is a long non-coding RNA of Olea europaea var. sylvestris, 752 nucleotides long. RefSeq lists it as uncharacterized. The transcript has 3 exons. Lineage: Eukaryota; Viridiplantae; Streptophyta; Magnoliopsida; Lamiales; Oleaceae. The record is from RefSeq and is a predicted model, not a curated record.